Molecule: ribosomal RNA, 774 nt
Filed under: uncultured bacterium
Lineage: Bacteria
Description: bacterial SSU rRNA
Rfam family: Bacterial small subunit ribosomal RNA
Source: RNAcentral
CAACCGAAAGCGGAAGCAGCUUGCUGCGGAAGAUUUCGUCCGGGGUGACUGAGUGGCGGACGGGUGAGUAACGCGUGGGUAACCUGCCCCAUAGAGGGGGACAACAGUUGGAAACGACUGCUAAUACCGCAUAGUAAGGAACUGCCGCAUGACGGUUUCUUGAAAGAUUUAUCGCUAUGGGAUGGACCCGCGUCUGAUUAGCUAGUUGGUAAGGUAACGGCUUACCAAGGCGACGAUCAGUAGCCGGCUUGAGAGAGUGAACGGCCACAUUGGGACUGAGACACGGCCCAAACUCCUACGGGAGGCAGCAGUGGGGAAUAUUGCACAAUGGGGGAAACCCUGAUGCAGCGACGCCGCGUGAGUGAAGAAGUAUUUCGGUAUGUAAAGCUCUAUCAGCAGGGAAGAUAAUGACGGUACCUGACUAAGAAGCCCCGGCUAACUACGUGCCAGCAGCCGCGGUAAUACGUAGGGGGCAAGCGUUAUCCGGAUUUACUGGGUGUAAAGGGUGCGUAGGUGGCAGGGCAAGUCAGAUGUGAAAGCCCGGGGCUCAACCCCGGUAUUGCAUUUGAAACUGUCCGGCUGGAGUGCAGGAGAGGUAAGCGGAAUUCCUAGUGUAGCGGUGAAAUGCGUAGAUAUUAGGAGGAACACCAGUGGCGAAGGCGGCUUACUGGACUGUAACUGACGCUGAGGCACGAAAGCGUGGGGAGCAAACAGGAUUAGAUACCCUGGUAGUCCACGCCGUANACGAUGAAUACUAGGUGUCGGGGCCCACNG